Molecule: ribosomal RNA, 555 nt
Filed under: uncultured bacterium
Lineage: Bacteria
Description: partial 16S ribosomal RNA
Source: RNAcentral
GGAGUUAGCCGGUGCUUCUUCUGUGAGUGAUGUCCUUCCUGCCGGCUAUUAACCCGCAGGCCUUCUUCCUCACUGAAAGUUCUUUACAACCCGAAGGCCUUCUUCACACACGCGGCAUGGCUGGAUCAGGGUUGCCCCCAUUGUCCAAUAUUCCCCACUGCUGCCUCCCGUAGGAGUCUGGGCCGUGUCUCAGUCCCAGUGUGGCUGAUCAUCCUCUCAGACCAGCUACGGAUCGUCGCCUUGGUGAGCCGUUACCUCACCAACCAGCUAAUCCGACAUAGGCUCAUCCGAUAGCGCGAGGCCCGAAGGUCCCCCGCUUUCCCCCGUAGGGCGUAUGCGGUAUUAGCCUGGGUUUCCCCAGGUUAUCCCCCACUACCGGGCAGAUUCCUAUGCAUUACUCACCCGUCCGCCGCUCGCCACCAGGGAGCAAGCUCCCCGUGCUGCCGCUCGACUUGCAUGUGUUAGGCCUGCCGCCAGCGUUCAAUCUGAGCCAUAGUACUAACUAACCUCGUACGUACGUAGACGGGCGGUCGGUCGGACGAACGGGCCGACUAG